AGAUUCAGGGAGAAACCUGCAGACACACCAUGCCCCCACGGCCUGCCUGGGAGUGAACUCCCGUGGUGGCAUCUUCUCUUCCCCCGUGUGGAGCUGCCUUCUGAGACGCAUGGCGAAUGACGGACCUCAACCUCCAGGGCUGUUGUUCAGAUGCCGCCGGGCACUGGGCCCUGGCCACAUCCCAGACAGCUGUAUCAGGAAGUCACCCCCCUCCCCUCAUCCACAGGGGAUGAAACCAGAGCACAGAGAUACCAGGUGAGUUUGCCCAAAACCACCCCAGCGCCCUGGCCCUCAGAGCCAAGUUCCCUGCAUGAAGUUAGAUCUGAGAGCAGGAAGAUCACCAGUGACAGACUCUUGCUCAGGACAUUUGACGUGGCCAGAACCUAAGCCUAACACCCUCCCCGCUGGUCCUGAGCAGGGUGGGCAGGACACGGCCGCAUGGGAGGGCAGCUGUUGUCAGGGAACAGGCGCACCACACAGGCCAGGCAGCUGCCAGGGUGGAAUGGGGCUCCACGUCUGCUCAACCAGUCAGUGUUGCGGGUCUGCAGAGUUCCCCACACAAAAUCACGCCUGCUGAUGAGACACAGACUCCCGAGCACCUUUAUCCAUUCAGCGGAAGCAUGGUAUCUGCCUCAGUUUCCUUAUUUAUAAGCUAGAACUCGCAUGCCUGCCUUUUGGGGUUGUUUAGAAACUGAAACAAGAACAUAGACCAGACAGCAAGGGGUUCCUUACCUCACCUGGACAGACCUUGUCUUCCUUCCAUGCCUUAGAAGAGCUGCAAGCAACCCCUGGCAGAAGAGGCGAUGGCAUGGAACUGAGGCUCAGGGCAGCGCUGGAGGAAGCACUUGUGCCCUGUUUUGUGGAGUAUGGUGCACAGGGGGCCAGACUUGUGGGAGGUCACUCCCCAACCCCGGGAUGAAACCUGUCCAGGGCACUUGGAAGCCCUCCAUGCCCAUCUCAUGAGGAGGGCAUGGAACUGAGACCAGGCUUUGGCAGCCACCUUCACACCAGCCUGUGCUCACAUCACCCCCAGCCCGUGGCGAUGCUGCUGGGGCUCAGCCAGCUCCCCGCACUGCUGGAGUGGAAGAGGAAAGGAGACCCCAGCCCAGCCAGCAUUGUGGCAGCCUCAAGCCUCAGCCUGGACAACAUGCUGGCAUCUGCCUCCAAAUCUGCAGUCCCUGAAGCCAGCGGUGUGUGUCCCAGGGUCAAGCCACCUGCUGGAGAAAAGUUAAACCUAAGGAAGAAACACAGGUCCCUGGGAUUUAAGCCAAUGAAUUUAUUUUUUGCAAUGAAUCAAAUUUUUUUAUCAUUAAAAAAUGUGAUAAAC
This 1327-nucleotide long non-coding RNA is filed under the name Homo sapiens (human). RNAcentral describes it as "long non-coding RNA NONHSAT203780.1". Lineage: Eukaryota; Metazoa; Chordata; Mammalia; Primates; Hominidae. The record is from RNAcentral.